CAAAGGUGGAAACACAAAGUCGCACAUGGCCCUCUCGAAACCACAGCCCUGUGAGCGGAUUGUUCAUGAGACUGGCUGGAAGAAGGCCUUUCGAACCCCAUCUGAAGCAUCGCCCACAUCCUGCAGCAUCUGCCUCCCUCCGGUAACCACUUAGCUGCAGGUCGAGGAAGCUGGAAAUCCCCGAUAUCCUUUAAAGAGCUCUCUGGGUAGUUUAGUGGGAAGCACGAAGCCAUACCAGUAGGCCUCAGGCUGAUAACCGUUUAUUAAUGGAGACUUUAUGGAGGAAAGGGGGGGGGAUCCUGACAGUUAUUUGAUAAAAGAGAGAGCGGUACAAAAAUGUGUCCUGAUUCACGGAAGUGAAUAAACCCUGGGUCUGUUCACAGGGGAAAGUAAACGUAUAGAAGACACAGCAGGGCGUAAGUGCCGCUGAUGGAGACUGACACAAAAGUGCUAAACAGAACACUCUAGGAAUGUGCAAGGGAGGAAUGUUGAGAGAAACAUUUUUAGAGUCUCUGUCUUGGUCAUUCUUUAUACUCUUGGAUGCCUUGUAAACAAGUUUUAUUACUUCUAUUCAAUGUUAGCUGAAGUUAAUAUGAACAGAUAUGCAUAAAGUACUUAAAGUAAUCCCAGGCACGGCAUAUACAUUAAUGCCUACCUCCCAUUAUUAAUGCCUUGUAAGCAACGAAACCAAAGCCCCAAGACCCUAAAAUCACGCAGUUGUAAAUACCCUGCUUGGUAUCAGAACCUGAACAUACGGCUUGAUAUCUAUCUGUAUUAUGGAGUGGGUUUUUUGCUCUAGAACCACGUCAUGUGUCUGCCGUGGACCAACCAGGUAAGGCCCCCAUCUACUUGUGUGAACUAUAAAAAUGAGUGGAAUGGGAAAAUGAUACUCUAUGGUAAGAAAAUAGGACAAUAUAAGCUAAAUCAAAUGUCUUCUAAAUAUGAUUCAAUCAUGUCAAUAUUUUGAAAUCAGUAGAGCAAGGGGGGCAGAAUAUGGUAAUGCAUGUUUAUAACCCACCUACUGGGGAGACAGAGAUAGGAGUGUUGCAAGUUGAGGCCAGUGGGUGACUUAGUGAGAUGUUGUCUCACUUUGAUUCAAAGGAAUUCUAUAGCGUAGCUCAGUGUUAUUCUGUUGCCUAUCAUGAGGAAGACCCUACAUUCAACCCCGGCACCAACAGAAAGGGCUUGAGGGGACUAGGAAUUUGAUGCAAAUGAAUCUGAGCUCCCUAUUUAGGUUACUAAAUCACUGAAUUUGAGACCUGAGAGGACGCAUUGGGAAGGAUUUACUUCCGCUGCCCUUGAUCACAGAGGAUAAAACCAACAUAUGAUGCUAACAUGACUCCUCCAAGGUCUUUCAGAUUCAAGAUGCAGAAAUUCUAACAAAUACCCGAGUUAAUUAGCCUGCUUGCACAUCUCUCCCUUAAAGUCAAGAGUUCAAAACUGACAACCCCCCCCCCCAUAGGGUUGUUUUUAAUUAACCUAAAUUUCCAAAUCACAUCACAGGUGACAAUCGGCACGGACAACAACAAGCCGGCCUAAUUGGCCUUCCUACGAAAGGAAAAGGAAACAGAUGUUGCUUUCAGGGCUCUGGUCUGCUUGGACUCUAGGAGACAGGAGUAAGUACCUGAGUGCCUGGGCUCUGCCCGUCUGGUGACUGUGGAAGCUCCAGAAUACAGGCUUACGGUGGUGUCAUCGUCAUCGAGCAUGUCCCUGGUGCUGCUGUAUUUGGCCUGCAUCCUGAUUCCUGCAGAGCUGCGGGUGAGAUGUGCUCUGAUUGCUCCAGGCCGCGUGUCGAACGUCAGAUACCUCAGGAAACCAGGCACUGGGAGGCAUUCCUAAUGGUCUCUCCUUGCAGGCUGCAGGGGAAGCCUCUGACUCCAGUUCCUGCAUGGAGAGGCCCGGCCCCUCCCCUGCGAGCUUGUCCUCAGAAUGCCAAGUUAGUCUGGCUGAGGGGAAAUCGCAUGUGUUUUCUGGCUGGGCGGUCCCUGAACAGUUAUUAAAAUAUCUGCAUUUUUUUU
Molecule: non-coding RNA, 2018 nt
Organism: Peromyscus maniculatus bairdii (prairie deer mouse)
Lineage: Eukaryota; Metazoa; Chordata; Mammalia; Rodentia; Cricetidae
Source: RefSeq, a predicted model, not a curated record